UGUCAAGGGAGGAACACAAGGGAA
This 24-nucleotide unclassified non-coding RNA is filed under the name Mus musculus (house mouse). RNAcentral's name for it is "oocyte_clustered_small_RNA357". Lineage: Eukaryota; Metazoa; Chordata; Mammalia; Rodentia; Muridae. The record is from RNAcentral.